CCCUUAGAUGUUCUGGGCCGCACGCGCGCUACACUGAUCAGUGCAACAAGCAUCCGUCCUUGGCCGACAGGCCCGGGCAAUCUUUGAACGCUGAUCGUGAUGGGGAUAGACUUUUGCAAUUUUUGGUCUUCAACGAGGAAUUCCUAGUAAACGCAAGUCAUCAACUUGCAUUGAUUACGUCCCUGCCCUUUGUACACACCGCCCGUCGCACCUACCGAUUGAAUGGUCCGGUGAAGCCUCCGGAUUGGCGUGCACCCUCGGGUGCUGCCGAGAAGUUGGCUAAACCUUACCAUUUAGAGGAAGGUGAAGUCAUAACA
RNAcentral lists this ribosomal RNA (317 nucleotides) under uncultured eukaryote. RNAcentral describes it as "partial 18S ribosomal RNA". It matches the Rfam family "Eukaryotic small subunit ribosomal RNA", at positions 1470 to 1796 of the family's 1831-position model. The record is from RNAcentral.